This 468-nucleotide ribosomal RNA is filed under the name uncultured bacterium. RNAcentral's name for it is "partial 16S ribosomal RNA". It matches the Rfam family "Bacterial small subunit ribosomal RNA", at positions 39 to 507 of the family's 1533-position model. The record is from RNAcentral.
GGGGGGGGGUGGGGGGGGGGGGGGGGGGUGCGGGGCGGGCGGGCGGGCCCUGCUUGGGGGGGGUGCUCGGGUGGCGGACGGGGGCGUCCCCCGUGAGUAACCUGCCCUUGACUUUGGUCUCACUUCAGGAAGCUGGGGCUAAUGCCGGAUGGGAGCUCCUGCUUCCUGGUGGGGGUUGGACAGUUUCGGCGGUUGGGGAUGGACUCGCGGCUUAUCAGCUUGUUGGUGGGGUAGUGGCUUAACAAGGCUUUGACGGGUAGCCGGCCUGAGAGGGGGACCGGCCACAUUGGGACUGAGAUAAGGCCCAGACUCCUACGGGAGGCAGCAGUGGGGAAUAUUGCACAAUGGGCGGAAGCCUGAUGCAGCAACGCCGCGGGCGGGAUGACGGCCUUCGGGUUGUAAACCGCUGUCGCCUGUGACGAAGCGUGAGUGGCGGUAAUGGGUAAAGAAGCACCGGCUAACUACGUG